This 336-nucleotide unclassified non-coding RNA is filed under the name uncultured fungus. RNAcentral describes it as "sequence contains 5.8S rRNA gene". The stretch from base 1 to 53 matches the Rfam family "5.8S ribosomal RNA", at positions 102 to 154 of the family's 154-position model. The record is from RNAcentral. Lineage: Eukaryota; Fungi.
GAACGCACAUUGCGCCCGCUGGUAUUCCAGCGGGCAUGCCCGUUCGAGCGUCAUUUUAAUCUUUUCCCAGGAGACUCUUCUAUUCUGUAGUGAGAGUGUCAGCGGGGUGUUGGCAUUGGGCGCCUUAUUUUUAGGCGGCCGGAGCCGAAAUGAAGCGGCGGACUCGCGGCGGCCCCUAGCGCAGUAGAAACAACCCUUCUCGCUUAGGAGAGCUGCAGCGGCGGACCACAGCCCUAUAUGCUUUUUUUUUUUUUUUUUUAAAAAAAAAAAAAAAAAAAAGCUAACAUAUAUAAAAACUUGACCUCGGAUCGGGUAGGACUACCCGCUGAACUUAAG